CCUACGGGUGGCAGCAGUGAGGAAUAUUGGUCAAUGGACGAGAGUCUGAACCAGCCAAGUAGCGUGAAGGAUGACUGCCCUAUGGGUUGUAAACUUCUUUUAUAUGGGAAUAAAAUGUUCCACGUGUGGGAUUUUGUAUGUACCAUAUGAAUAAGGAUCGGCUAACUCCGUGCCAGCAGCCGCGGUGAUACGGAGGAUCCGAGCGUUAUCCGGAUUUAUUGGGUUUAAAGGGAGCGUAGGUGGAUUGUUAAGUCAGUUGUGAAAGUUUGCGGCUCAACCGUAAAAUUGCAGUUGAAACUGGCAGUCUUGAGUACAGUAGAGGUGGGCGGAAUUCGUGGUGUAGCGGUGAAAUGCUGAGAUAUCACGAAGAACUCCGAUUGCGAAGGCAGUUCACUGGACUGCAACUGACACUGAGGCUCGAAAGUGUGGGUAUCAAACAGGAUUAGAUACCCUAGUAGUC
This 460-nucleotide ribosomal RNA is filed under the name uncultured bacterium. RNAcentral's name for it is "partial 16S ribosomal RNA". It matches the Rfam family "Bacterial small subunit ribosomal RNA", at positions 338 to 795 of the family's 1533-position model. The record is from RNAcentral.